CAGAUUCGUUUGUCCGGUUUGGCUACAGGCUAGAGGAAUCUAUUCCACAAAACUUAAAUUGGUUACAGGCGUAGGUGUUGUAGUUAAUGACAAAAAGGGAGGAAGACGUGAGGAAUCAUAUCGGUGUUGGAUUCGCUAGAUGUAAGCAACUGUAUGAGCCAAGGAGGACCUGCCAGGAUGUUUGCGUGGGUGUGGCUGACGGUUGGGUCGUCGUACCAGUAGUCGUUCUUGCUCCCUGGAGGUUACUGUCUACGCCAAUUAGGAGAAACUCCCACUGGUGGCCUCCAUUCGCUGACACAGCGGUACAUGGUAAUUUUUUCUUAUGCACUAGGGAGCAUCUGCAAAUAGGAUUCUAUAUGUCCACUGCCUACUAUAGAUUCUAAAGGUACGAUCCUUCCAGGUUUAAGGGGCAUGGCAUGUUCGCACUUUCCACAGGACAUAUCAUGUCGUGGCUUUCUCACGCCAGCAUUACAUUUUUUAGUUAUAUUAUGAUGUAGCACUUGAUUUUGGAAAUUCAAGCUAAUAUGUCUAACUGCUCUAUACCAUGUUGGUGAACUAUAAUAUAUCUAGGUUUGCCUGAUAAUGUUAAUGUGUACAUGCGGUAUUAUGAUGUAGCACUUGAUUUUGAAAAUUCAAGCUAAUAUGUCUAACUGCUCUAUACCAUGUUGGUGAACUAUAAUAUAUCUAGGUUUGCCUGAUAAUGUUAAUGUGUACAUGCGGGGUUCUUACAUCUAUAAUAUCCUCUGUCAGUAUUGGUUCUCUUUCAACCCAUGUCCAUGGAAAAGCCACAAGAAUCCUAAUUGUCUUUAUACCCUAAAUCCCCCAAAGUGAAUCCUAAGUGUUUUUUCUUAGUUUCCCCUUCACAGUGUAGUUCACAAAGAAUUGAAUCUGCAAUACCUUUUUCUAGGUUAUACAUGUACAUUGCAGCUGUUGUCAUUCUCUGUUUUUUGUAUGUUGAAACCAUGC
Molecule: long non-coding RNA, 966 nt
Organism: Lolium rigidum
Lineage: Eukaryota; Viridiplantae; Streptophyta; Magnoliopsida; Poales; Poaceae
Exons: 3
Source: RefSeq, a predicted model, not a curated record